This 789-nucleotide ribosomal RNA is filed under the name uncultured bacterium. RNAcentral describes it as "bacterial SSU rRNA". It matches the Rfam family "Bacterial small subunit ribosomal RNA", at positions 8 to 796 of the family's 1533-position model. The record is from RNAcentral.
AGAGUUUGAUCAUGGCUCAGGAUGAACGCUAGCGGCAGGCCUAAUACAUGCAAGUCGAACGGUAAAUAGAUCAGCAAUGGUCUAUGAGAGUGACGCACGGGUGCGUAACACGUAUGCAACCUACCCUUUACAGGAGUAUAGCUCGGGGAAACUCGAAUUAACACUUCAUAGUAUAAUUGAAUGGCAUCAUUUGAUUAUUAAAUCUGCGGAGGUAAAGGAUGGGCAUGCGUCUGAUUAGCUAGUUGGUAGUGUAAUGGACUACCAAGGCGAUGAUCAGUAGGGGAACUGAGAGGUUGAUCCCCCACACUGGCACUGAGAUACGGGCCAGACUCCUACGGGAGGCAGCAGUAGGGAAUAUUGGUCAAUGGGUGAGAGCCUGAACCAGCCAUGCCGCGUGCAGGAAGACGGCCUUCUGGGUUGUAAACUGCUUUUGUCAGGGGAUAAAAUUUCCUUGCGAGGAAAAUUGAAGGUACCUGGCGAAUAAGCCACGGCUAACUACGUGCCAGCAGCCGCGGUAAUACGUAGGUGGCAAGCGUUGUCCGGAUUUAUUGGGUUUAAAGGGUGCGUAGGCGGUCUAUUAAGUCAGUGCUGAAAUAUUCCGGCUUAACCGGGAGGGUGGCAUUGAUACUGAUGGGCUAGAGUACAGAUGAGGUAGGCGGAAUUGACGGUAGCGGUGAAAUGCUUAGAUAUCGUCAAGAACACCUAUAGCGAAGGCAGCUUACUAGGCUGUAACUGACGCUGAGGCACGAAAGUGUGGGGAUCAAACAGGAUUAGAUACCCUAGUAGUCC